Molecule: non-coding RNA, 73 nt
Organism: Potamilus streckersoni
Lineage: Eukaryota; Metazoa; Mollusca; Bivalvia; Unionida; Unionidae
Source: the annotation of a GenBank genome assembly
UGCUCUGGUGGCCUAGUGGUAGUGCACCUGCCUCAGAUGUAAGAGGUUGCAUGUUUGAACCCUGGCUGAGUCA